GAUGAAGAACGCAGCGAAAUGCGAUAAGUAGUGUGAAUUGCAGAAUUCAGUGAAUCAUCGAAUCUUUGAACGCACAUUGCGCCCCUUGGUAUUCCAUGGGGCAUGCCUGUUCGAGCGUCAUUUGUACCUUCAAGCUCUGCUUGGUGUUGGGUGUUUGUCUCGCCUCUGCGUGUAGACUCGCCUCAAAACAAUUGGCAGCCGGCGUAUUGAUUUCGGAGCGCAGUACAUCUCGCGCUUUGCACUCAUAACGACGACGUCCAAAAGUAAAUUUUUACACUCUUGACCUCGGAUCAGGUAGGGAUACCCGCUGAACUUAAGCAUAUCAAUAAGCGGAGGA
Molecule: unclassified non-coding RNA, 337 nt
Filed under: soil metagenome
Description: partial contains 5.8S ribosomal RNA, internal transcribed spacer 2, and large subunit ribosomal RNA
Rfam family: 5.8S ribosomal RNA (bases 1-120)
Source: RNAcentral